RNAcentral lists this ribosomal RNA (253 nucleotides) under uncultured bacterium. Its description in RNAcentral is "partial 16S ribosomal RNA". It matches the Rfam family "Bacterial small subunit ribosomal RNA", at positions 524 to 776 of the family's 1533-position model. The record is from RNAcentral.
UACGUAGGGUGCGAGCGUUGUCCGGAAUUAUUGGGCGUAAAGAGCGUGUAGGCGGCCAUGCAGGUCAGCUGUGAAAACUCGAGGCUCAACCUCGAGACGUCGGUUGAAACCGUAUGGCUAGAGUCCGGAAGAGGAGAGUGGAAUUCCCGGUGUAGCGGUGAAAUGCGCAGAUAUCGGGAAGAACACCUAUGGCGAAGGCAGCUCUCUGGGACGGUACUGACGCUGAGACGCGAAAGCGUGGGGAGCGAACAGG